CUUCUUGUUAUAGAAUGAUCCAGUUCUGAGACAGAAAGCUUUGGAAUACAUGGACUUCUUUGAGAUAACAACUGACGUUGAAGCAACUCAAGUGAUACGGAUCGCGCAGUCUUUGUCAGAAGCUUUGAAGGCUUUUUGUGAAAAGAAAGAAGCUCUCAAGCAUAUUAGAAGCCUUCCACCACUGAUGCCACCAAGAGACAGAAAUACAAAGCUGCAAAAACCUAUGAAAAAAGCAUACAAACCCUUUGAUGAUAAUCCAGG
Molecule: long non-coding RNA, 261 nt
Organism: Heteronotia binoei (common prickly gecko)
Lineage: Eukaryota; Metazoa; Chordata; Lepidosauria; Squamata; Gekkonidae
Exons: 3
Source: RefSeq, a predicted model, not a curated record